RNAcentral lists this ribosomal RNA (254 nucleotides) under uncultured bacterium. RNAcentral describes it as "partial 16S ribosomal RNA". It matches the Rfam family "Bacterial small subunit ribosomal RNA", at positions 524 to 776 of the family's 1533-position model. The record is from RNAcentral.
UACGAAGGGGGCUAGCGUUGCUCGGAAUCACUGGGCGUAAAGCGCACGUAGGCGGCUUUGUAAGUUAGAGGUGAAAGCCCAGGGCUCAACCCUGGAAUUGCCUUUAAGACUGCAUCGCUUGAACAUCGGAGAGGUAAGUGGAAUUCCGAGUGUAGAGGUGAAAUUCGUAGAUAUUCGGAAGAACACCAGUGGCGAAGGCGACUUACUGGACGAUUGUUGGACGCUGAGGUGCGAAAGCGUGGGGAGCAAACAGG